RNAcentral lists this long non-coding RNA (36648 nucleotides) under Sorghum bicolor (sorghum). RNAcentral's name for it is "long non-coding RNA (SBIC_LNC016073)". Lineage: Eukaryota; Viridiplantae; Streptophyta; Magnoliopsida; Poales; Poaceae. The record is from RNAcentral.
AAGGUCUGAAGACAUACAGCUUGAACAGAACUGUCCUAAGGAGACCAUAGCACCGAUUCAGGUGUGGAGGGAGAAGAUAGUUAUACAUGAAGAGGAGGCGCCACCGGAAUCACCGACUACGCCAUCCAGCGAAUCCCAGGACGACUGAGAAAACGGAGAGUCCCGUUCGGAGGACUUAAAAACACCGAACGCCUUGCCAAGAGGUAAACUUGGUAGUUAUCCUUUUUCCUUUCAACUAUUUAAAAUAGUUUGCUUAGUUAAUCAGGUUCAUAUCAUCUCGAAAAGAAAAUAAAAAUGUUAAAAAUAGUAAGCCCCAUGUGAGUAUGCUCAUGGCAUAAAACCCAUAGGUACAUUCACUCUAGUGGCAUAAAAUAAAUAUGUUUUCAUCUUAUAAUAAAAAUAUAAAUAAUAAGUGCAUGAUCCUGCUAAAUAAAUAAAAUUUAUUAUGAGGAAGCUCAAUAUGAUAAAGGCUAGAUAUUUAUGCUAACACUUAACUAGUUCCACAAAGCUUUGUUGUCUAUUUGAGCUUCACAGAAUUCAUGGAUAAAAGAAGACUAGCAGACGGAGGACAUCCUAAUCGCUGUCAGGGUUCUGCCAACAUUCAAAUACACCUCCGUCACUUGCUAGCUACACCAGAAAAAAUCACGUCAAAAUCCAGCUUGGGGGAGAGCACCCCCAUUUAUCCAGCUAAGUAUUUCUACUCGCGUUUAUACUUUACUCAAGUAAUAAAAAGAUUCAUAAUCAUGAAAACCCAAAUAAUGUGCUUAUAUAUAUCUUUGCUUAGUUAGCUAAAUAAAUAAAUAAAGUGUCUAGGCCAAACUGAACUUAAAUGAUAAGCUCUCACAUGGAAAUGAUGAAUAGUUGCUCUGCCAAGACUAGUUCUUAAAAUUGAAAUCUCUCUCAAGUUUAGGCAUAACUGUUAUAAUUUAAACCUGCUCUAAACCCGAACUUGUGGGAAGAGUACUUGAUCUAAAGUCUAAGUCGUUAACGGAUAUGAUAUGGGAAGGUUGAGCUGCUGUUUAUCUGUUCCUAGAGAUGCUAGAAUUCUGGAGAAUUUUAUCUUUCAAAAAUCUUUAAAAUAACACAUGAUGAGUUCCUGUAUGAUGAGAGAUUAAAAUCCUACCAUAGCCAUAUAUACAUGCUUAUUAGACUUUGAGCCACAUAUUUACUUUUUACUGCUUAUGAGCAUUGAGUGUGGUCAAGCUGUGUAGACCCUUAGGAGCUUGUCAUGCGGUUAAAAUCAAGAUUCACUUGCACGUUCACUCACACAUGCUGCUUCUACUCCGGAAGUACGCAUCCACAUACAUCCACUCAUUUCCAUCUCCAGAUUCACCCAAAAGUAUUCUACUCCUAAUCCGGGAGAGAAUAGCCAGAAACAUUAUCCUAUCCCUGUUUUUCCCUAUGGAAUAAAUGCUCGAGAUAGUUUGGUUACUACCACUUGCUACAUUAUUCUAGAAGGGUGAGUGCUCUGAAAAAAAAGAGAGAAAAAAAAAUAAUACGAGGAAAUAAAAAGGGGCAAGUGCCCGGAACCUCGAAGAAAAGAAAAAGUGAGACAAGAGGUAAAAAUGGACAAGUGUCCGACAGUAGAAUUAGGGGUACAAGAUACCCACCUUAGAGAAAAGAAAAAGAAAAUAUAGAGCAUCUCAUUCUCCUCAAAAAGCUUCAAAGUGCAAGAAAGGUAUGUAUCCCCUCAAAGAGCAAAAGUAGAAUUAGACUUCCACCAUUGUUAUCACCAUCAUCACCAUAUACCAUUCAUUCGCCACACAUGCACAUCUUAAUUGAACUUAUUGAUUUGUUUCUUUGGAUCCAUGGUUUGACUAUACAAUAAAUGUCUUGUGAGUAUGUAUACUUUAUCUCCCACCUAUGAGCUCCAGAUAUUAAAGCCUUAUUAGAGUACGGUGAGAGAGAAGGCAAUCUGCUUUACACCAUAAAUACCAUAUAUAUUGAGAGAAGGCAUAUACCAUCACUGCCUUGGUAAGGAUCCAGAAAUACCACAAAAGAGAGAUUUGAGAGAGUCAUACAAAGGAAUCUCUGAGUUUUAUUUGAAAAUCUGCAAAAACUCCAGAGCUAUAGCUGAUCAAGAAUAAGAGACAUGGCACUUGAUUAGACUGUUCUAUCUUUUAACUACUCAAGACAGAAGUGACGGUUACAAGUCUCAUGGUGAUAGGUAAAGUAAGUAAGUUUUAAGUCUUGAUAGUUUACUCUAACUCAGAGAUGAGAUCUUAUUUAAAAGCAUGUGUACUGUCAAAUUUUCAAAGAUAUUGCAACAACUUCUGAUCCAUUACUGAGUCUAUCCUUGCUCAGGGACGAGCAAGAGGUAAGCUUGGGGGAGUUUGUUGACGGUCCUUAAGUAUCAAAUUUAAUUAUGAAAUAAACAAAGAAAAGGAUCCAAAUAAAAUCGACAUCUAGACCUAGGGUUUUAUCUGACAGAAUUCCACGAGUUUUGGUGUUUGUCUAUUUCUGCAGGGGGUUAUCAGGAAAUACGGAAGAAAGGCCCACACGUCGGGAUUACAUAGAGAUAUUAACGUGCCGUGUAAUUAUCUUACAUCUAGAAGACUCCAGAAGCCACGGGAAGGAAGCGGAGGCUGAACGGGGCUAGGCACUGGGCGCCCGCCCAGUUGACCUGGGCGCCCGCCCCCUGUCGGAGUCCAAUCAGGGCACUCAUUCGGGAAAGAUCACCACCGACCUAAAGGAUCAAGGACAACCGUUCAAUCAAUGUCGGUUUGAUCCAACGGCCCAUAUUCACUUGAAGGGACUAUAAAACCAGACCCCCUAGCCCCUAGAGGAGAGAGCCUCUCAACCCUAAUUCAUUAUUCCUCAAGGGAGAAGAAGCCUCUGAUCAAGAUUAGAGCCACCACAUCAAUUAGACAUCUAGAUUAGCAUAGCUACAUAGGAUUAUAACUAGAAGGAGUCAAUCUUUGAUUGGUUUCCAGAUCUGUCAAGAGGAUUCUUGGUAAUUCUCUAAUUGUGCUUCUAAUUGUUCUUCUAAUUAUCUUUGUUCUUCAAUAUUAUGAAAAUGACUUUGUUCUACUUCAAUAUAUUGCUUAUGACUUUGCUCUACUUGUUUAUAUUCAAGAUUAUAUUGUUCUUAGUUUAUCAUAGUUAUGUACUUGGCUUAUGUUGGGUAUUCUUAACAUCAUUACCAAUAGUAGAUGUUGACGGUCCUUAAGUAUCAAAUUUAAUUAUCAAAUAAACAAAGAAAAGGAUCCAAAUUAAAUCAACAUCUAGACUUAGGGUUUUAUCUGACAGAAUUCCACGAGUUUUGGUGUUUGUCUAUUUCUGCAGGGGGUUAUAAGGAAAUACGGAAGAAAGGCCCACACGUCAGGAUUACAUAGAGAUAUUAACGUGCCACGCAAUUAUCUUACAUCUAGAAGACUCCAGAAGCCACGGGAAAGAAGCGGAGGCCGAACGGGGCCAGAGGCAGGGCGCCCACCUUGUUUCCCUGGGCGCCCGCCCUGACUUGGAGGCCAAUUAGGACUCUGUUUCUCGGGAGAUCUCCAACGACCUAAAGGAUCAAGGAUAACCGUUCAAUCUAUAUCGGUUUGAUCCAACAGCCCAUAUUCACUUGAAGGGACUAUAAAAUCAGACCCCCUGGCCCCUGGAGGAGAGAGCCUCUCAAACCUAAUUCAUUAUUCUUCAAGGGAGAAGAAGCCUCUGAUCAAGAUUAGAGCCACCACAUCAAUUAGACAUCUAGAUUAGCAUAGCUACAUAGGAUUAGAACUAGAAGGAGUCAAUCUUCGAUUGGUUUCCGGAUCUGUCAAGAGGAUUCUUGGUAAUUCUCUAAUUGUGCUUCUAAUUGUUCCUCUAAUCAUCUUUGUUCUUCAAUAUUAUGAAUAUGACUUUGUUCUACUUCAAUAUAUUACUUAUGACUUUGCUCUACUUGUUUAUAUUCAAGAUUAUAUUGUUCUUAGUUUAUCAUAGUUAUGUACUUGGCUUAGUUAGAUUGGAUCUAUAUACAUGCUUAGGAUCGUGUAGCGUUUAUCCAUCGGAUCCAUGGGUAAAUGAUAGAUAUUGUGUAGGCGUGGUGCUUAUACCGUAUUUAUCUGCGAUUGUACCCAAUUUGCCAGAUCGUGGGGUAGUUCGUGAUAGUGACAGGUUCAUUGAUUCUUAUAUAGUCCCCCUCUCGUGUAUUGGGCUGGCAGAGCAACAUUAUUACAGGGGAGUGAUUGCUAUGUUUCUCAUUUACCUUGCUAAUAUCACUAUGCAUGGGUGUAGUCUAGUCUCGCAAUGAUUGCUAAGUAUGCUUGCACUAACUAUGAUAAUGUUGGGCCAUAUAGUUGAGAAUAACUUAGGAAAUAUUCUUGUAGUUCGUUCUAAUACCAUGCUAAUGACUUUCUAGAGUAUCUAAUUGAGGUGCUUAUCAUAUUUAUAUGUGGCUGAUCAGAUUAAUUAUCUUUGUCACUAUUUAUUAUUUCAAAUAUCUUUUAUGUGACACUUAUCCCUGUAUAAAAGAGUUAGAUAAAUGUUCUCAAUUAUACAUGCAAUGAUAGAUACUCAAUCUCAUAUUUUAUUCUAUAAUCAAUAUUGAUGGUUGCUAAUCCCUUCCCAGUGGUAAAAAUAUAAAUAACGAUACCUGGAAUACUUCCCGGUUAAAAUGCUACAUCGGUAUUAAUCUGUGCGCUUGCAGAUCCCAUUCAUUAUUUAUUUAGAAGAGCAAUUGCAUAUUUCAAUACCGCGUCUCUCAUGUCAUGCUGGGGAUGACAACUUGGCUUAAGUGGUGUGAGGGAUAGGUUUGGCAUUUUUGGCACCGUUACUAGAUUUAGAGAACUUAGUCUACUUUUGGUAAUGAUGUUAAGAAUACCCAACAAGCAUUUUUGGCGCCGUUGCUGGGGAAGGUUGAUUACUAAUCAAGAAUGGAAUAAAGGAUUUUGAGUUAUCAUUCGCAUCACUAAUAUGAUUGAGCUUAUCUAUUCUCUCAUACAGUUUUACCUCGAUAUUUUUCUAUUUUAUAUUAUGCAGGGGAAUGUAUGAAUAGAAGACAUCUUCUAGGAAAUUUUGUUGACAAUCCCGAAGCGUUAUUCAGAAAAACUAGAGCCAAGCUCAAGAAGAGAUCAUCAACACUUCAGCAAAAGCUUCAUCCAAUCAAGAAGAUCACCGGAACUUGUCUUCAGAGUUCGAAGCCAUGGCGAACAAAUCGAUCUGCGAGUUCUCAGCUCCCACUACGGACAACAUCCGCACUGGACCUGCUGCAGAGAUCGAUGGCAACUUUGAGCUCAAGCCUGGACUUAUCAAUUUGGUGCAAUCCAACCAGUUCUGUGGGAAGGCACACGAAGAUGCUAGUGCUCAUCUCCAACACUUCCUGGAGAUUUGCAACACAUUCACCAUAUCAAGAGUUUCCAGAGAUGCUAUACUACUUCGCCUCUUCCCAUUCUCACUGUUAGGAAGAGCGAAGCAGUGGUUCUACGCUACAAAGGAGAAGAAUACUAUGUGGGCACUCUGCUCAACAAACUUCCUGGCUAAGUUCUUUCCCAUGGGCAAGACCAAUGCUCUCUGUGGGAAAAUUACAAGUUUUCAGCAACAAAAUGAUGAAUCUGUUCUAGAAGCAUGGGAGCGCUUCCAAGACUACAUCCUAGAAUGUCUCCAUCAUGGAAUGGAGAGUUGGCUACUAAUGCAGACGUUUUAUCAUGGACUCGGCAAUAGUGCCCGAGAGACCAUGGAUGCUGCAGCUGGAGGAGCAUUUUUAUCACUUACUAUAUCACAAGCCACAGCUCUUGUGGAGAAGAUGGCGUCCAACCAAGGCUGGAAUGAAGAGAGGACCCAGACACGCAAGAGAGGUGGAGGUAUGCAUCAGCUCAAGGAGGUAGACAUGCUAUCUGCAAAGCUAGACCUGCUCAUGAAGAAGCUCAACGAUAGAGCUGGAGAUAAGAAAGAAGUUAUGCACAUCUACGACUCUCACAUGACUUGUGAAGAGUGUGGAGAUACUGGACACUCAGGCAAUCACUGCCCUGAGAUACUUGAGGACGUGAACUACAUCAACAACAACAACUACUACUACUACAACCGUCCUCAACAACAUCAAGGUUGGAAUCAACAGAGGCCUAACUACUCAGGUAAUUAUCAAGGUAACAAUUCUUACAAUAAUAAUUUUCCACUUCUGAGAGAGUUAGUGUCUAAUCAAGGAAAGCUAAUGGAGAGUCUAUCUAAGAAAUUGGCAUCUAAUGAUAAAAUGCUAGAAAAUAUAAAUAAUAGAAUGGAUAAUUUCUCUUCUGCCAUCAAGAAUCAAAUUAGGUUUAAUAAAAUGAUUGAAUCCCAGUUAAAUCAAAUAGCUGCUGCUGUUCCUACUACUAACCCCGGUAUACCAUCACAACCAGAAGGAUUAGAAUCUGCAAAUCUUGUAGACACGUUUGAUGCAGGUAAUUGGAGUAACCCCGUCACUAAAUUCACUACUGACCUUCUGCCGGUCAAGAGAGGCAAUCCAGGACGCCCCGUCAUCCCGAUCUCCAUCGGCAUGGUGGACUUCCAAGAAUCACUCUGUGACUUUGGCUCUAGUGUCAACAUUAUGCCCAGGGUACUCUAUGAAAAAUUCUUUACAUAUUCUUUAUUAGAAACAACCAUGUGUUUGCAGUUUGCAGAUCAGACGAUAAGUUUUCCAAAGGGAAUAUUGAAGAACCUUUGUGUCCGAGUUGGUACCUUAUACGCCCUAGCAGACUUGGUGGUGAUAGAGACCGGUAAUGAUGAGAGAGCACCCAUCAUCUUAGGGAGGCCAUUCUUAAACACCUCGGGAGCUGUCAUCUACGCCAGUGCUGCCAAGAUCAGUUUCUACAUCAAAGGGAGGAAGGAGACGUUUUUCUUCAAGAACAAGACUACACAAAUCCCAGAUCAAUCUAGACGUGAAUCAAGGAAGAGGACCAACAGGAGGAACAGGAACAAGCAAGUGUGGACCGAGUCAGCUAAGAUGGUCACUGCAGUUCAUAGAGGUCAAGAUCACCAACUUAAGUCACCGUUUUUGACCAAGAAGGAUGACCCAGGAAUGCCAAGCAUCUACUGCUCCAUAAAUGGAUACAACUUCUACAAGACGUUUUGCGACACUGGAUCGGGCGUCAACAUAAUGGCCGCAGUCACCUAUCAGCUCUUGUUCGGAACCAUGCCCCUAUGACCAACAUACAUUCAGCUCCAGAUGGCAGAUCAGACAUUUCGAGAAGUUAAAGGAACAAUAACUGAUGUCUCUAUCAAAAUAGACGAUCAUUUUGUCUACACAGACUUUCAAGUUGUUGACAUGGGAGAAGAUGAGUACGAUCCACCCAUCAUUCUUGGAAGACCGUUCCUCAGCACCGUUAAAGCAAUCAUCUACAUUGGAACUGGAGUAGUCCAUAUGCUCUUCCCCUCAGAGAAGGUACGCCGUUAUUUUAUUGACCCUGACUAUAUCGUUGAAGAAUCUAAGCAGGUAAGAAAACGACGCAACCGCAACCAGAGGAGGCAAAUCAUCAAGGACGGAUGGGCAGACUACGAAGGAGAAGUGAUAAGAUCAGAAGAUGUAGAGUUUAAACAGAAUUUUCAGAGGAGACCGUAGCACCGAGUCAGGUAUGGAAAGAGAAGAUAACCAUACAUGAAGAGGAGGCGCCGCCGGAAGUACCGACUACGCCACCCAACGAACCUCAGGACAAUUGAGAAAACAGAGAGUCCCCGUUCGGAGGACUUAAAAACACCGAACGCCUUGCCAAGAGGUAAACUUGGUAGUUAUCCUUUCCCUUUCGAUUAUUUUAAAAUAGUUUGCUUAGUUAAUUAUAUUCAUACUAUUCUAAAAAGAAAAUAAAAAUGUUAAAAAAAUAGUAAGCCCCAUGUGAGUAUACGAGUGGCAUAAACCCCAUAAGUACAUUCACUGUGGUGGCAUAAAAAUAAAAUAAAUAUUUUUCUGCUUUAUAAAAUGAAAAUAUAAAAAUAGGGAGUAAUAAUUAUUGAGGAGUCUCAACAUGAUAAAGGCUAGAUAUUUAUGCUAACACUUAAUCAGUUCCACAAAGCUUUGUUGUCUAUUUGAGCUCCACAGAAUUCAAGAAUCAAAAAGACUAGCAGACGGAGGACAUUCUAAUCGCUGUCAAGAUACUGCCGACUUUCAAAUACACCUCUGCCACCUGCUAGCUACAUCAAAAGAAAUUACGUCAAAAUUCAGCUUGGGGGAGAGCACCCCCAUUUAUCCCGAUAAGUAUUUCUAUCUAUCUAUCUUUAUACUUAUACUAUAUUAAAAUAUAACUAUGGAAAACCAAAUAAAGAUUUUGUGCAUAUAUAUAUAUAUCUUUUGCUUAGUGUGUUUAAUAAAGAAAUAAAGUGGCUAUGCUAAUCUGUAUCUAAAUAAAACUCUAGCACGGAUAUGAUGAAUAGUUGCUCUGCCUAACUAGCAAAUUUUAAGUUCUCUCUCAAGUUUAGAUAUAACUGUUAUAAUUUAAAGCUUGCUCUAGACCUAAACUUGUGGGAUGAAAACUUGAUCUGAAGUCUAAGUUGUUAACGGAUAUGAUAUGGGAAGGUUGAGCUGCUGUUUAUCUGUUCCUAGAGAUGCUAGAAUUCUGGAGAAUUUUAUCUUUGAAAAUCUUUAAAAUAUUGCAUGAUGAGUUCCUGUAUGAUGAGAGUUUAAAUUCCUACCACAGCCAUAUAUACAUGCUUGCUAGACUUUGAGCCACACAUUUACUAUUUACUGCUUAUGAGCAUUGAGUGUGGUCAAGCUGUGUAGACCCUUAGGAGCUUGUCAUGUGGUUAAAUCAAGAUUUCACUUGCACGUUCACUCAUAUAUGCUACUUCUACUCUGGAAGUACCAUCCACAUAUAUCCACUCAUUUCCAUCUCCAGAACCACCCAAAAAUAUUCUACUCCUAAUCCGGGAGAGAAUAACCAAAAAUAUUUCUAUUUUUCCCUUGUGAAAUAAAUACUCAAGUUAUCUUGUUACUACCACUUGCUAUAUUACCUCAAGAGAUGAGUGCUCUAAAAAAAGAAGAAAGAAAAAAGAGAUAGAUAUGAGGAAAUAAAAAGGCGCAAGUGCCCGGAACCUCGAAAGAAAAGAAAAAGUGAGACAAGAGGUAAAAAUGGACAAGUGUCCGACAGUAGAAUUAGGGGUACAAGAUACCCAACUGAGAGAAAAGAAAAAAAGAAGAGCAUCUCAUUCUCCCCAUAAAAUUUCAGAAAGCAAGGAAGGUAUGUACCCCUCAAAGAGCAAAAGUAGAAUUAGACUUCCACCAUUGCUAUCACCAUCAUCACCAUACACCAUUCAUUCGCCACACAUACACAUCUUGAUUUGACUUAUUGAUUUGUUUCUUUGGAUCCAUGGUUUGACUAUGCAAUACAUGUCUUAUAAGUAUGUAUACUUUAUCUCCCGCCUAUGAGCUCCAGAUAUUAAAGCCUUAUUAGAGUAGGGUGAGAGAGAAGGCAAUGUCACUAUGCCUUAUACCAUAAAUACUAUAGAUAUUGAGAGAAGGCAUAUACCAUCACUGCCUUGGUAAGGAUCCAGAAAUAUCACAAAAGAGAGAUAUGAGAGAAUCAUACAAGGAAUCUCUGAGUUUUAUUUGAAAAUCUACAAAAACUCCAGAGCUAUAGCUGAUCAAGAAUAAGAGACAUGGCACUUGGCUAGACUGUUCUAUCUUUUGACUACUCAAGACAGAAGUGACGGUUACAAGUCCCAUGGUGAAAGGUAAAGUAAGUAGGUUUUAAGUCUUGACAGUUUACUCUAACUCAGAGAUGAGAUCAUAUUUAAAAGCAUGUGUACCGUCAAUUUUUAAAUAUAUUGCAACAACUUCUAAUCCAUCGCUGAGUCUGUCCUUGCUCAGGGACGGGCAAGAGGUAAGCUUGGGGGAGUUUGUUGACGGUCCUUAAGUAUCAAAUUUAAUUAUCAAAUAAACAAAGAAAAGGAUCCAAAUGAAAUCAACAUCUAGACUUAGGGUUUUAUCUGACAGAAUUCUACGAGUUUUGGUGUUUGUCUAUUUCUGCAGGGGGUUAUCAGGAAAUACGGAAGAAAGGCUCACACGUCGGGAUUACAUAGAGAUAUUAACGUGCCACGCAAUUAUCUUACAUCUAGAAGACUCCAGAAGCCACGGGAAAGAAGCGGAGGCCGAACGGGGCGAGAGGCAGGGCACCCGCCAUGUUUCCCUAGGCGCCCGCCCUGACUUGGAGGCCAAUUAGGACUCUGUUUCUCGGGAGAUCUCCACCGACCUAAAGGAUCAAGGAUAACUGUUCAAUCUAUGUCGGUUUGAUCCAACGGCCCAUAUUCACUUGAAGAGACUAUAAAACCAGACACCCUGGCCCCUGGAGGAGAGAGCCUCUCAACCCUAAUUCAUUAUUCUUCAAGGGAGAAGAAGCCUCUGAUCAAGAUUGGAGCCACCACAUCAAUUAGACAUCUAGAUUAGCAUAGCUACAUAGGAUUAGAACUAGAAGGAGUCAAUCUUCGAUUGGUUUCUGGAUCUGUCAAGAAGAUUCUUGGUAAUUCUCUAAUUGUUCUUCUAAUCAUCUUUGUUCUUCAAUAUUAUGAAUAUGACUUUGUUCUACUUCAAUAUAUUGCUUAUGACUUUGCUCUACUUGUUUAUAUUCAAGAUUAUAUUGUUCUUAGUUUAUCAUAGUUAUGUACUUGGCUUAGUUAGAUUGGAUCUAUAUACAUGCUUAGGAUCGUAUAGCGUUUAUCCAUCGGAUCCAUGGGUAAAUGAUAGAUAUUGUGUAGGCGUGGAGCUUAUACCGUAUUUAUCUGCGAUUGUACCCAAUAUGCCAGAUCGUGGGGUAGUUCAUGGUAGUGACAGCUUCAUUGAUUCUUAUAUAGUCCCCCUCUCGUGUAUUGGGCUGACAGAGCAACAUUAUUAUAGGGGAGUGAUUGCUAUGUUUCUCAUUUACCUUGCUAAUAUCACUAUGCAUGGGCGUAGUCUUGUCUCGCAAUGAUUGCUAAGUAUGCUUGCACUAACUAUGAUAAUGCUAGACUAUAUAGUUGAGAAUAAUUAGGAAAUAUUCUUGUAGUUCGUUCUAAUACCAUGCGAAUGACUUUCUAGAGUAUCUAAUUGAGGUGCUUAUCAUAUUUAUUAUGUGGCUAAGUUAUGCUGAUCAGAUUAAUUAUCCUUGUCACUAUUCAUUACUUCAUAUAUCUUUAUGUGACACUUACCCCUGUAUGAAAGAGUUAGAUAAAUGUUCUCAAUUAUACAUGCAAUGAUAAAUACUCAAUCUCAUAUUCUAUUCUGUAAUCAAUAUUGAUGAUUGCUAAUCCCUUCCCAGUGUUAAAAAUAUAAAUAACGAUACCUGGAAUACUUCCCGGUUAAAAUGCUACAUCGGUAUUAAUCUGUGCGCUUGCAGAUCCCAUUCAUUAUUUAUUUAGAAGAGCAAUUGCAUAUUUCAAUACCGCGUCUCUUAUAUCAUGCUGGGGAUGACAACUUGGCUUAAGUGGUAUGAGGGAUAGGUUUGGCGUUUUUGGCACCGUCAUCAGAUUUAGAAAACUAAGUCUACUUUUGGUAAUGAUGUUAAGAAUACCCAACAGCGAGCGCACCCGCAAGUCCGCCUAUCGGCCCCAAUCUUUUUCCCUUCCUCUUCUGCACUGAUUAGCAUCACGUCCAUGGUUACGAUCAAGUUGUUUCUGGAUCAGAGACUGCGUUAGCACCUAUAUAAUCCUCCAUAGGCCUCUUCUCUUCUCACACCAACCAUUUCUCAUCUCCCUCUUGUGAAGAUUGCUAAGCUCUCCCAUUCUCCAGUAGUGACCAUGUCUAGUUAUGCCCUCAAGCUGAUCAAUGCUCCCAAGACCAUAGCCAAUCUAGACAUAGCGCCUUACCAAGAGAGUUCUAGCAAGGAGGUCCAUGUUGAGAAGAGAAAGCUGUUAGCGUUGUUACCAGCAAACCACAAAGCGCCCACCAAUAGCGCUGCCAACAAACCUGCUACUGCCCGUUCGUCCACUAGCAACAUAGGACUUAAGAGAAAAGCCCCUAGUGGUGAUAGUUAAGGCAAUCAUGCUGGUAGCAAGAUGGGUGGCAAGGCCAAGAAGACGGAAUCGUCCAGUACUCUCCCUAGGAUCAGGAGGCACUUGCCACAGCCGUCAAUCAAGCGUCGUGCAGGACAGUACGAGAGCAGGGAUGAAGAAGAUGAUCCCAAUAUCAUAGCCGAGCUUUUAGCUAAGCAGGCUAGCCUACGUACUGAGUUAUAGGUUUUAGAAUAUGACCUAGAGGAAAAGAACACUGAGAUUAGGAACCUCAGUGAUGAUGUUAAUAGGUUUUGCUUCAUGUUUAAUACUAAACUUAGAAAGGUCGCUGAAGCCUUAGGUGUUGGUCACCUUGUUGAAGAUCUUUAGACCACACCUCUUGCAUGAAUCAUUGUUCAGGCACAUUUUUCCUUUUCACAAUAUUUAUGUUUCAAAUAUUUUUUCCCUUCCAAUGUAAUGUGCCUAUUCAAAGUUAUCAAUAAAAAAAGUUUGUUUAUCUUGUGCACUUGUUUUCUAUAUAUAUUGGGACUAACCAUGAUAGGAAAGAAAACAAGUGUGGGAGAAGGACUAUUUAAUCAAAAAUCUCGGUUUGUGCAAACCCUCCUCCCCAAAAAAGAUUUUAAAAUGAAAUGUUUAAAAUGAUGUUACCUUCGUACUCCAUCAAACAUGUCUCCUAUGUUCAAAUAUGUUUUUGCAUACUUUAUAUUCUUGGCUAAUAUCCCUAGAGAUUUAUGAACACUUGUUAUAGGGACCACAUUUAUCUAAGUAAUUGGCGUAUGUGAUAUAGUAGGAUGACAUGAUGCUUGCUGGUUCUUGCAAAGUACUUGGGUUUUCUUUAUAAAAAGCAAAAUUCGAUAGCAAGUUUCUUGAAUGAUCAAGCUUUAUUCCUACCAUGGCCAAAUAUUUGUUCAUGAUUAAACCUUCUACAUAUGCUACUUGCUCUGUGUUGAGUUUGGUCAAAUUUUUGGACCGCUGUCGAGAGAUGUUUCAUGCCUCUAAGAUCAGAAUUCACUUGCACCUAAAAUUUCGCCAACUCUUACACUGAGGGUUGCGCACAUAUAUCCACCAAAUAAAAAUGCCAAUAUCUCACCCUGAGAAUUGUGCAUUCAUAUACAUUCCUUGCAUUUGUUAUCAUAAAGCUCUCUUUCAUUUUCAUCAGAAUCAUAGGAAUGGGCUAUAUAUAUAUAAUUAUUAUGAGAAAAAGCAAAAGGGGCAAAACGGGGAAAGAUUCAUACCCGUCCAAAAAAAUAAAAUAAAAUUUGUGUUAUAGCCCAUAUCCUCUCAAGUUUUUCAUCUCAUUUCAAAAGAGAGUCUUGAUGCAAGGAAUGUUGCAAUAAAAGUAGUGAUAGGAUUCCACCAAAAAUUCCACACACUUGCACAUUCUGAUCUAAGGGUAUGGCGCACUCCCUCCGGUAUGGUCCUGGGUUUGACUCGACAACAGAUGCAGAGUAAGUAAGUUCCACCAUCAUAGCUACCCAAAACUCCAGAUAAGCCUUUUAGAAGUAGGAUGAUCAAAAAGAAGGCAUCAACUCUUUAUGCCUUGGUAAGGAACCACUCACAUAUUAGGAGGGACUUGAGAGCAUCAUUCAAGAAACAUAUGCUAUCUUUAUUUUUCAAAAUCUUGCAAAACCCCAAGUUUCUGCGCAGGGACUAUGUAAGAGGAUUUGAAUCUAGGCUGUUCCAUGUUUCAAUUACCCAAGAUAGCUUGGUAGACACUUUGAAGUUCAUAAAUCCAGGUGAAGCUAGGAAUAACGUGUAUGCAGAUUCUUUUGACAAGGAAGAUGAACCCAUUUGGUCUUUAGUGCCUUCACUCGAGGACGAGCAAAGGACCAAGUGUGGGGGAGUAUUUGGUACCCCUUAUCUUAUAAUUAUAAACAUCAUUUUAACAAAUAAAAUAAAUAGAUGGUAGGGCUUUGAACUAACCUUUCCACAAGUUUUGUUGCAAAUAUCAAUUUUAGGUAUGACACGUGGAAAGGCGCAAAAGACACAAGAAAGCGCACUUCAAGAAAGCGUAUUCAGAAAAGGCGCAAAUCAAAGAUAAAUGGAAAAGCCCACCAAAACACCGAACUGGAUCCAUCCGUAACCACGGGAAGGAUCAGGGCCUAGAGACGAACUGACCAUGCGAAGGCGGUGGCCAGGGGGGCCCACCAGUGGUGCGGCCGCACCCCCCGUGGUGGCAACUCGGUCCCAAUUUUUUCAGGCGGUUACAAGGCAGCAUGCAUAGGACGGUUUCACCUCCUACCAAAUUUAUAUCGCCAUGAACCUUUCUUGUUGGGCUAUAAAUAGAUGGCUCCACACCAUUCAACACACACACACCAUCAUUUGGAGCAAUACACCUCACAUUUCUACACUUGUUCUUUAGUUUAGAUUCAGUAGUAGAGCAAGGCAAAGCUAGCAAGGAGAGCUUGUCUCCUUGGAGGAUCUUAGAGCUUCUUGGUAUGAAUACAAUUCAGUUCUCCUCCAUGAGCAAGUUCUUAUCUUAUUUAUAUGAUUAUGCAAUUGAAUUAGAGUAUAGUUGUGUUCAUAUCUUGUUCAUAGUAUAUGAACUAGUUCUUAGUUCUUGUGCUAUGUUCUUGAUGUGUUCAUCCUUGUUCUUCAUCAUUCAUCGAAUUAGUAUGAGUAGACAAAGGAUUAAGAUUGGGGUAACGGUUCAUUGGGCUGUGAUGGCCACUCUUAGCCAAGCCUGUCAAUCCAAAGGGUUGGGGUCCCGGGAGGCUAGGACGCAUUUCCAAUUACACGCGUGAGGUGCUCGGGUAUGUGGAGAUCAGCGGAUGCACGGGUAUCUUUCGGGUAGAGGGGUAGGUGGCAGGGUAGUGACCGCCCUGUCAUCCCUGGUAUCCCCCACAAUUAGGUAUUCCGGUAGGAGUUCGGUAAAGUCCCUAUCGGCUAGAUGUCUAGCUGCGGGGAUCUCCCCAGAGCCUCAGACAUAGUUCUAACUCUAGUUAUAUUGAUUAGAUGUUCUACUAACAAUUCUUUGCAUAGUUAUAUAAGAUCAAUGCCGGCUCAAGUAGUUGUUCUUUAUUUCUUUUAUUUCCUUAUUUUCUCUUUAUUCAUUGAGGUUGCCCCAAUGAGUGUGUCCACUAUCCAUAUUUUAAGAGCCUGUCGUGACCCCUGAUUAGACUAUGUCUACCUAUGCAUCUCAAUAAGUGAUCAUGCUACAAACCAAGCUAGAUGCAUUUGUUACGCCCUCCUACGGGAUUAAAUACGAUAACCCUUGAAUACUCACGGGUUGAAAUGCUACAAUGAUAGUUCUGUUCGCUUGCAGUUUUAUUCUUUAUAUUCAUGAACUAUUGAUUGGCGUACCUAAGUACCAUUACUUAAGAUUGUAAACUCUGUGCAUUUAUCUAGUGUCGUGCUACAACUUUGCAUAUCAUAAGUAAGGAUGGUUAGGAUGGCCAAUCCGGCAUUCCUAAUUAUUGUUACCAGACUGCACUGAUAAGGUCGGCGCCAUUAAAGGCCUUGGGUUAUCUCUAUGACGUAAUGAUAGUUACGGUAUACCAACACCCGACAUUUCUGGUGCCAUUGCUAAUGAUGGAUUUAUAGUCUAUCUUUAGUAGUGACGCUAAGAAAUGCCAACAAUCACCAAAACUUGUGGAAUUCUAUUAGUGAUAACCUCUUUAGCUAGAUAGUAUUCUUAUUUUAAUCCUUUCUCAUGCUAUGUUGACGGUUAAAAAGGGUACUUAUCUACAACAACAAACUCCCCCAAGCUUACCUUUUGCUUGUCCCUGACUAAAGAUAGACUUAGUGAUGGAUCAGGAGUUGCUACAAUACUUUCACGCCUCACGAGUACACAAGCGUUCAAACAUGGACUCUCAUCCAGAUUUGAUUGAACUAGUCUAACUCAAUACUCACCCAUAUUACCUUUUACCAUGGAGCUUAUAGCUAUCACUUAGGUCUUGGAUAGUUGAAAGAUAGAACAGUUAAGUCGAGCACUAUACUACUCACCCUUCGAUCAACUAUUAUUCUGGAGUUUUAUAAGAUUUUCAAAUAAAACUCAGAGUUUCCUCGUAUGACACUUUCUAGUAUCUCAUAUGUGGUUUUUUUAUAUACUCUCUGAGGCAAGUGAGUAUGCCUUCUCUCUACUCUCACCCUAGUUCUAAUUGGCUUAUGUGGAGCUCAUAGGUGGGAAAGAUAAUUCAAACCUACUUACGUGUAUUACAUAGUUAAAUCAUGGAUCUAGAGAAACUAAUUAUACAAUCAAGUCAUAUGUGCAUGUGAGUGAAUGAAGUGAAGUGAUAAGAAUGAAAGGGGUUAUGAGGGGUGAUAACUGAUGGUGAAUAUCUAAUUCUACAUUUGCUCCUUAUGGAAACAUACCUCCCUAAUUUAGGAAUAAGGACUUGGCUGUCUUUCUUUUGCAUUGGGACUUUUGUCUUCUUUCUUUCUUUUCUCAUUUUUUUAGAAAUCAGCCAGCCCUUUUAAUGCACUGAUAACAACAGGGAGUAGAAACUAAAAUAACUAGAGCUUUAUUGGAUAAGUAGAAUAAGACAUAAUGGCAAUGGAUAUUUUUGGGUAUUCCCUCCUAGUGUAGGAGUAGAAUAUUUUCUAUGUGGAUGUGGAUGAAGGAAUGCAUACACUUAGUGUAGGAGUAGCAUUAAGUGUGGUGUGUAUAUGUGGGUGGUACUUUUAGGAACAAAAGUAGCACAUAGCGAAUGUGGUGGAUGUAAGUUGUUGCGUACUUCUAAGGAUAGAAGUAGCAAAGAUCAAUGGAUGGAGAGCACAUAAUAUUGACUUUAAGUGCAUAACUAGUUCCUUAGGGUCUACACAACUUAACUACCCUCAAUGCUUAUAGGAUGAAAUAUAAGUGGAUGUAACACCCUAAAAAUUUCACUUUUCCAAAUAGGGCAAUUUGGUUUAAUUAAUUGUUGUGAGCAUUAAGAUAUAGUAAGAAAGGAAUUUCUAUUGAAUUAAAAUUCACUAUAAGGCCUAGACACAUGCUUGUGCAUUCAUGCUGCUGCAUAGAUUUUAUUGAGUGGUGUUUCUUUUAAUUUAAAAUGAUUUUAAAAAUCCUUUCAAAAAGAAUUGAGCAAAAUAUGAAUUUAGAAAAUGGAAAAGGCUCAACUCUCUCCCUCCCCACUCUCGGGCUCGGCCCAUUCUUUCUCCCCCCUGUGGCCUGCUAUCUUCCCCUCCCUCCUUUCUUCUCUGCGCGUGUAACACCCUAAAAUUUACUCCUUUUGAAAUAUAGAUAAAAUUAUUUAAUUUUGUAUUUUUGUGCUCAUGAAAAUAUAGGAAAAAUAAUAUUUUCCAUUAAAUUAAAAUUUAUCAUAAGGCUUAGCAAUAUUAUUAUGCAUACAUGCUGGUGCAUAUGUUUUGAUGUGAUGCUUGUUGCUCCUUUAUGUGUUGAUAGUAAGAAAAAUAUUUAAAAUACGUUUAGUAGAUCGAUCUUCCUUAUUCGGCACGUGUUUAUCUUUUAUCUACAACCAAAUUCCUUGUUUCUAAGCUCAAAUUUUUAUUAGGACCUUCCUAAAAUCUUUUCUUUGUCACUCAAAGCACUUCUUUUAGUUCCUUGUCCAUCAAGCACUCUCUACAAAUUUUUCGGGAAUUUUUUUCAACUUCUGUUCUCACUUUUCUACGAGCAUAAAUCUAAUUUUUAGAUGCCCCAAAUUAUCUUAUCAUGAGGUCCAAAUACGUUAUUUGAGUUCCUCAUAUUCCAUAAUGUCUCUGAGAAUUUUCUCCGAAUUUUCAGAGCUUUUAGAAUAUUUUUUAUAGUUUAAAUAAUAAUUCUGGACUUUUUUAGAAUUAUUUUAUCCAUGAAAAUAAUUAAUUUCGAAAAUAAUAAAUCUACUACUAUUUUCCAACGUCAAAGCCCAGUUACAAUAAUCAUAAUAAAUCCCAAGACCAUAUCUUUAUUUACUAAUGGACUUUAAUAAUUAAUUAGGCCUAUUAGUAAAGAUGAAGGUUGCAAAUCAGUUAGUACCAUAUCGCUAGUUGACGUGGAGGUGGGAAGUUUUUUUCCCUAUAUAUAUAUAUAUAUAUAUAGCAACCCCUUAGGCAAAGCACAUCAAAAACUAUCAUAUAGGAAGCCUCUAAUUUGAGAAUCCCUAGGUAGUAAACUAUAUUUUCUUCUUUCUCUCUACGUUACCUUUAAUGUGUUACCUAUGCCACCGUUUGAAUCUCGUCGGAGAACUGAGCUCGCCCCGUCGUCCUUGCCGUCAUCAGUUGUUUCUCUAUGGUGUUCAAACCUGCGGACGCCCUUCAUGCGGAAGCCACGGAGCGAGAAUUAGCGUCAUGCUACGCGACGUCCAAGUCAUCUAGCUUGCAAGCCCAGCCGGCCAAAAGCCACAGGUAUAGUACGUAUGCCCAUAACACUUAUAUCUUCAGCACGUACAUUCUACACGUUGGUCGUAUAAUCCAUGUUACCUGGCUCCUGUAUCUACCGGUGUGUUUUUGUCUUCUAAUUCGUGAUCACUGACCAGAAUCGUCAAAGUAGGUAAAUUCCGGCAAGUUUCACGUCGUCGUCCAUGGCGGACCACCGUACCGGAGAUCUUGAGUCGGCCAUGUGCUACGAUUGUGCUCUACGCUGCCCCAGUUUUCUAUUUGCUAGCAUGAUGACAUCACGUGAGAGGUCAUGACAUGAUUUCUGGCCGUUUUCUUUUACAAAAAUAAAUCCAAAAAUACAAUAGGAAUACAUUAGCUUGUUUAGGUCAUAUCUUCUCCGUUUUAACUCCGUUUUGACCCAUUCAAAUUGCGUUGGAUUCGUAUUAAUGAGCUCUACAUGUUAGUAAUAUUAUUUUCUCAGUUUGAAACUUUUUAUUUUCGUGACCUUAUUUAAUUAAUUUUCUAUAUAAAAUUUUAGAAAAUUCAUAACUUCUACGUUUUAAUUCCGAUUUUCGUGAUCUUUACGUCUGUGAGAUCGUAGCGAUGCGUAGAAUCAUUUUCUAAACUUUCCAUACUGUUUUUAUAUGAUUGGUGUACUGUUCUAAUUGUAGUCUUGUUUGCUUCGUGUAUGUUGUCUCCGAUUGUUUGUGUGAUCGAUGAUCGAGUUUAGACGGUGAGCAGUUUUUGGUGAUCAAGAUAAGGGCUUUGGCAACAAGUAAAGACCAGCAUAACCAAAAGGAUAAGCAAGAGCAUUUGGAUCAAGGCAAGUAUAGCAUUUGGAUUUUAUUUCUGUGACUAGAUUAAUGUUAAGUAAUAAAUGAUAAAAAUGACUUUUUAGCCACUUGAUGAUUUAUCUGUAAGUGAUAACUGAGACAACAGUGCAACCAUGAUGGCUAUAAUGGCUCUGGCUUUAGCUCAGUAUGAAGACCUUUUCUAGCUUGUUAGAGGUUACCCGAAAGGGCGGAGGGGCGGAACCGUUUUGGGUAUAGUGUGGCCUCUGUCUGUAUGUGUAUAGGCUGCGAGUCAUUGUGCCAUCGGAAGGGGGCUCUAUAUCUACGCGCAAAGGAAACCUUGUGGCCCUAACAUGUUAGACGAACUUUUGAAAGGCUUCAUAGUGAUCCCUGCCGACCUUCCUUGGUAGUGGGUUAAGAGGCUGAUCACCUCAGGCGAAAGGGUAAAUCAUGACUCAUGGGUAAAGAUGUACAACCUCUGCAGAGUCUUAAAACUAGUAUACUAGCCGUGCUCACGGUCAAGAGCGGCCUUGGGGAUUCUUGCAUCGACGAUGAUGAUUCUUGUGUGUUAUAUAUGUUCAUUAUUUAUUAUUUAAUGCUUUACAUUACUUAUGUCACAUUGAUCAUGAGAUUGUGAGAGCUAUACAAUCUGGUUGCUAUACUUGUGGAGUUCGACAUGGACUCACUCUUGCUAUUUCCCCCAAACCUCAGGAGAAGUUUAGGCUUGUGAUCAACCAGUCAGUUGGAUCCUAUAGAGAGAAGUUAAUACCCGGAGUUUGGAGUUAUCUAUCCGAUGUUUGCUAUCAAAGGUUAUCUCUUUUAUAUUAUGUAUGUUAUAUAAUUUAUGCAUUGUCUUUUGAUAUUACCCCUUAUUUGUAGCUAUAUGUGAGAUUUGGCUUCUAAGACUUACAUAUGGUGCAUAUCUGGUUUUGUUCUUAAAAUCGGGUAUUACAAAGUGGUAUCAAAGCAAUGCUGACGGUAGAACGCAAGCCUAGUUAGAAAUUUGUCGUCUUAAGGUUUUGGAAUUGUCAUAAAAUCCUUGCUCUAUAAACUUUGGUAUUUUCGUCCAUACUAUAUCCCUAUCCUUACUAUUUGUCUCCACCUUGUUGCUUAUUUUAAAAGUACAUGUUCUCACCUUCACUCCUUGAUUCAGUAUGCUAUUAGAACCUUUUCAUACCCCCUUCUUACGUCUUUGAAACAUAAGUUUUAGGAUCUUUGCCCUUAAUGAAGAGAACGAUAAUAUCGCAAAGUUGAGUGAAGUGUGCUUAGUUGGUUUGUUAUUAUGCUUAUGUUUGAUUUGGAUCAUUGUAAUGAUUGCAAUGAUCUUGUGGAAUUACUUCACAAUUUCAUUAGAUUAAAGACCUAAGGCAUAAGGAUUAAUGAAAUAAGUAGUUGGGUUUGGCUAUCUCUUGUUUCUAUCCCUUGCUGAUUUCUAGAGCAGUUUGCAAUAAUGCUGGUGUAUCUAAAGGUCUGAUCAUGCAAAGUUUAUCAAAUUUUUCUGGGAACAACUAGACAUUAAGAUCUUUCUCUGACCGUAAGAAUCACCCUCAUAGCUAUUAUGGUUUGGAAGUUACAAAAAUCACAAGAUGAUACAGAUGUGCUGUCCAGAAUCUGGACCAGUUUCGGGAACUUGCUGUUUGAGACAAAUAUAACUACAUAAUUUGGAAACGUGUUCUAUAGAAAAGUUAUAGACGACUUGCUAAGCUUUCCAACAGUAUAAUCUGGAACUUAUUUGGCUAAGGAUAACCUGAGAUAUGAUAUUUACAAUUGGAUGUUUCUGUUCUAUAUCAAAGUCUAGACAGUUUUGGUAUUCCCUAUUUUCGGCCAAGUUAAAUACAGAAUCUGGGAAAACAUGGUAUAUGAAAGUUGUAGAGGAUUUGCUAAGCUUUUCAAAAAUGUAAGGAUAAUCUCUAGAUGAGUUAAGUAGCUCGAGAUAUAAUUUCUGGAAUUUACUGCACCUUUGCUGAGACAUUAUCAGGAAGGAUAUUAUGUUUGGUUGUUUUACCUAUGCUUAAAGACAGAACCUAAGGAGGAAUUCUACAUUAAAGUUGUGGGGAAUUUCAUAAGUUUUCUAACGAUAUAAUCUGCAACUCUAUUGAAUUAAUAGAAUAAGAGUUAUACCAGUUUUACUACGCAGGUAUUUUUCAUAUCGCGAGGAAAUUUCAGGAUACGUGUUUGCUCCACUGCACAUAAGUUCUUUGGGAUGUCAGAAGAUCUCAAUGUUAACUUGUCUAGAAAGUAUGCAAGCUACCUUUCUUGGUCCCCUAAUUGACUUUUCUUAAGGGGGUAGCCCAAUUAAAGAACUACAAGGAGAAGAAGUGGUUAAUAACUGGAACAUCUAUAAGGACAUCAAGUGCUUGGUAUGUUUUUAAGAACAAAACUAGAUAUGCACCAUAUGUGAGUCUUAGAAGCCAAAACUCACAUAUAGCUACAAAUAAGGGGUAAUAUCAAAAGACAAUGCAUAAAUUAUAUAACGUACAUAAUAUAAAAGAGAUAACCUUUGAUAGCAAACAUCGGAUAGACAACUCCAAACUCCGGGUAUUAACUUCUCUCUACAGGAUCCAACUGACUGGUUGAUCACAAGCCUAAACUUCUCUUGAGGUUUGGGAAAAAUAGCAAGAGUGAGUCCAUGUCGAACUCCACAAGUAUAGCAACCAGAUUGUAUAGCUCCCACAAUCUCAUGAUCAAUGUGACAUAAGUAAUGUAAAGCAUUAAAUAAUAAUUAAUGAACAUAUAUAACACACAAGAAUCAUCAUCGUCGAUGCAAGAAUCCCCAAGGCCGCUCUUGACCGUGAGCACGGCUAGUAUACUAGUUUUAACACUCUGCAGAGGUUGUACAUCUUUACCCAUGAGUCAUGAUUUACCCUUUCGCCCGAGGUGAUCAGCCUCUUAACCCACUACCAAGGAAGGUCGGCAGGGAUCACUAUGAAGCCUUACAAAAGUUCGUCUAACAUGUUAGGGCCGCAAGGUUUUCUUUGCGCGCAGAUAUAGAGCCUCCCUUUCGAUGGCACAAUGACUCGCAGCCUAUACACAUACAGACAGAGGCCACACUAUACCCAAAACGGUUCGGCCCCUCCGCCCUUUCGGGUAACCUAAAAAGCUAGAAAAGGUCUUCAUACUGAGCUAAAGCCAGAGCCAUUAUAGCCCUCAUGGUUGCACUGUUGUCCCGGUUAUCACUUACAGAUAAAUCAUCAAAUGGCUAAAAAGUCAUUUUUAUCAUUUAUUACUUAACAUUAAUCUAGUCACAAGAUCAUGGUCGCAGAAAUAAAAUCCAAAUGCUAUACUUGCCUUGAUCCAAAUGCUCUUGCUUAUCCUUUUGGUUAUGCUGGUCUUUACUUGUUGCCAAAGCUCUUAUCUUGAUCAGCAAAAACUGCUCACCGUCUAAACUCGAUCAUCGAUCACACAAACAAUCGGAGACAACAUACACGAAGCAAACAAGACUACAAUUAGAACAGUACACCAAUCAUAUAAAAACAGUAUGGAAAGUUUAGAAAAUGAUUCUACGCAUCGCUAUGAUCUCACAGACGUAAAGAUCACGAAAAUCGGAAUUAAAACGUAGAAGUUACGAAUUUUCUAAGAUUUUAUAUAGAAAAUUAAUUAAAUAGGGUCACGAAAAUAAAAAAGUUUCAAAGUGAGAAAACAAUGCUACUAACAUAUAGAGCUCAUUAAUACGAAUCCAACACAAUUUGAAUGGGUCAAAACGGAGUUAAAACGGAGAAGAUAUGACCUAAACAAGCUAAUGUAUUCCUAUUGUAUUUUUGGAUUUAUUUUUGUAAAAGAAAACGGCCAGAAAACAUGUCAUGACCUCUCACGUGAUGUCAUCAUGCUAGCAAAUAGAAAACUGGGGCAGCGUAGAGCACAAUCGUAGCACAUGGCCGACUCAAGAUCUCCGGUACGGUGGUCCGCCAUGGACGACGACGUGAAACUUGCCGGAAUUUACCUACUUUGACGAUUCUGGUCAGUGAUCACGAAUUAGAAGACAAAAACACACCGGUAGAUAGAGGAGCCAGGUAACGUGGAUUAUACGACCAACGUGUAGAAUGUACGUGCUGAAGAUAUAAGUGUUAUGGGCAUACGUACUAUACCUGUGGCUUUUGGCCGGCUGGGCUUGCAAGCUAGAUGACUUGGACGUCGCGUAGCAUGACGCUAAGUCUCGAUCCGUGGCUUCCGCAUGAAGGGCAUCCGCAGGUUUGAACACGACAGAGAAACAACAGAUGACGGCAAGGACGACGGGGCGAGCAAACGGUGGCGUAGGUAACACAUUAAAGGUAACGUAGAGAGAAAGAAGAAAAUAUAUAGUUUACUACCUAGGGAUUCUUAAAUUAGAGGCUUCUUAUAUAAUAGUUUUUGAUGUGCUUUGCCUAAGAAGUUGCUUCAUAUAUAUAGGGAGAAAAACUUCCCACCUCCACGUCAACUAGCGAUAUGGUACUAACUGAUUUGCAACCUUCAUCUUUAUUAAUAGGCCUAAUUAAUUAUUAAAGCCCAUUAGUAAAUAAAAAUAUGGUCUUGGGAUUUAUUAUGAUUAUUGUAACUGGGCUUUGACGUUGGAAAAUAGUAAUAGAUUUAUUAUUUUCGAAAUUAAUUAUUUUCAUGGAUAAAAUAAUUCUAGAAAAGUCCACAAUUAUUAUUUAAACUAUGAAAAAUAUUCUAAAAGCUCUGAAAAUUCCGAGAAAAUUCUCAGAGAUAUUAUGGAAUAUGAGGAACUCAAAUAACGUAUUUGGACCUCAUGAUAAGAUAAUUUGGGGCAUCUAAAAAUUAGAUUUAUGCUCAUAGAAAAGUGAGAACAGAAGUUGAAAAAAAUUCCUGAAAAAUUUGUAGAGAGUGCUUGAUGGACAAGGAACUAAAAGAAGUGCUUUGAGUGACAAAGAAAAUAUUUUAGGAAGGUCCUAAUAAAAAUUUGAGCUUAGAAACAAGAAAUUUGGUUGUAGAUAAAAGAUAAAUACGUGCCGAAUAAGGAAGAUCGAUGUACUAAAUGUAUUUUAAAUAUUUUUCUUACUAUCAACACAUAAAGGAGCAACAAGCAUCACAUCAAAACAUAUGCACCAGCAUGUAUGCAUAAUAAUAUUGCUAAGCCUUAUGAUAAAUUUUAAUUUAAUGAAAAAUAUUAUUUUUCCUAUAUUUUCAUGAGCACAAAAAUACAAAAUUAAAUAAUUUUAUCUAUAUUUCAAAAGGAGUAAAUUUUAGGGUGUUACAGCGCGGCCCACUUCGCGGCCUAGGCAGCGCAGCCCAGCGUCCGCGCGCCCGUAUCCUCGCAGCAGCCGCUGACUGGGCGGUCCCGCGCCCCCGUGUCACUGCCAGGCGGGGUCCACUUGUCGGACCCGUCUCCCACCUCGUGUCCGACCAGGACACGAGCCGAACCGUAACCUCCGCGCGCAUUUCCGCGCGAGUGGUCCCCCCUCCACCCGUCUUCUCCCCUUUAAAUACCCACACCGCUGCCCCGCAACUCGCUACCUCAACCCGAGCAUCAGCCGCCGCGUAGCUUCUGCCGCGUUCGUCGUCGAGAUUUAGGCCGAAGCCAAUCCACCGUCGCAGCGCCUCCAAGUCCCCGUGAGCAGCUGGCCGAGCUUCGGAUUCGUCUCGCGAAGUCGCCAAAACUCUCGCUUCACGAUUUCGUGCUUUCUGUGCCUCGCUAACCCUCGCUGGACUUCUUUUCAGGGCCGCCGUCCACUGAUCAUCGCCGCAAGCCCUAGCCGGCCUCCCUUUGUUCCGCUUCUUGCCUCAGGUGAGCUCACAUCGAGUUUCUAAACGUUCCGGUGUGGUUGGUUCACGUUCUAUCGCUCCGAGUCGCUCGGUUGAGCAACUCCGGCCAACUCGGCCAUGGCGUCGCCGCGGGUUGCCCACCUCCGGCCAGCCGACAUUAACCCCCCAUUGCGAUCUAAUCUUGGCUCUUGAUUCGGAAUCCAACGGCCUAUAUUGAAGGAUACCCCUUCGGCCGUAAAUUUUGUAGAAAACCCCCUGAACUUUUUAAUGUAUAAACCCGCCGUCCUUUGCGCUUUCUCUGAAUACGUUUUCUAAAUUCUAAAGCGUAUUUUCGACUGCGCAGUGAAAAAAACCGUUUUCUUAGAUUUACAGUUUUGCCAUUGAUCUUAUUUAACUCAUAAAAACUCUGUUUUAACUCCGAUUUGACCCGUUCAAAUUGCAUUAGAUUCGUUUUCACGUAAUCUAUAGAUUAGUGGUACUGUUAUAUAAGUUUUCAACUUUUAAACUCCGAUUUAAUCUAUUAUUUUUUUAAAGGCAAUCUUAUUUAGAUCAUAACUUCUUCGUUUUAGAUCCGAUUUUUGUGAACUUUACGUUUGUGUGAUCGUAGAGCGAUGUAGACUCGUUUUAUAAACUUUUUAUCUUUAUUUAUUACUGUUGGUGUACUGUUCUAAUAAUAGGCUUGUUUGCUUUGUAUGAUUGUCUUUGGAUGAUUGAUGUUGAUGUGGUGUUUACGUAUAGACGGUGAGCGUACGUGGGUGAUCAAGAGUACUACUACGAGCAGGAUCAGCAGGACCAGUGUGAUCAUGGCAAGUAUAGCAUGGGAUCAUCCUUGUUUCAUAAUAACUUUAAUCACACAAUUCAUAUUGCAUGUGUCUCCUUGAUAAGGAUUUCCUAGUAUUGAUCUUAUACCUUGUCACCUAUGGUUAUGCAUUGGGUAGCUUAUGCUAGUGCUCCACUAAACCAUGAUCUUGUAAUUUGAUUAAAGGAUUAUGCAAUAAACAUUAAAAGAUGACUUUUUAGCAACUUUGGAUAAGAGGGCUGGAGCAUUGGGCUAUCUUAUGGUGCUCUAGUUUCUCUCCAUAAGGACUUAUCUGUAUCUGACCAUCCGGGACAUACAGUACAACUGUGAGGGCUACAUGGCUCUGGCUUUAGCUCAGUAUGAGGACCUUUUCUAGCUUGUUGGUGGUUACCCUUGUGGCGCAAAUGGGGGAUAGUAGACCGUGGAUUCCUGCGGGUGAGUCACACGGACCGACUAACGAAACCUAGCGUCCCUAACUUGUUAGACGAACCUUUGAAAGGCUUCAUAGUGAACCCUGUCGGCCUUCCUUGAGAGUGGGCUAAGGGGCUGAUCACCUCGGGCGAAAGGGUAAAUCACGACUCACAGUGAAAGUGUACAACCUCUGCAAAGUGUAAAACUGAUAUAUCAGCCGUGCUCACGGUCACGAGCGGCCUUGGACCAAUACAAAAUAAAUAAUCAUUAAUGGCAAAUUAUUAAAGUUAUUAUUGUUAAUAUGUUGUUUAUGCUAUUCUUUAUUCACUUUACGUGAUCAUGAGUUUAUUAUGGGUUUUGACAACUUGAUGCUACUCAUAUGCUAAAAUUGUGACAACUAAAAGCUACAUGCAGUUGAACCAGUGUCUAACCUUUGAGCCUCAUGAACCCCAUGUUACACUUGUUAAGUACGAGGUGUACUUACACUUGUUUAUUUUCUUUAUUUGGAUAAAAAUCCCGGAUGGGUAACAGAUGGCAUGGGUAAUGACUACCACCAGUACUUCCUUGAGGAUUUCUAGUCUUGUGGUCAACCAGUUGACGUGCCUGUGUGAUGGAGCUUCCAUGCAAGAGUUAUCUUUUACUUUCCGCUUUAUCUGUGUAAAGACUCUGAGUUAUAUCGUUAUGUAAUAAACACUUGUGAUGAUACUCCCUAUAAUUUGUCGGCUUAUGUGUGAUUGAUCUCUCGGCACAAAUAAGGUUUUGCAUUCAAUUUUAUCCUUAAAAUUGGGUGUGACAAAUUGGUAUCAAAGCCGUGUUGACUGUAGGACGCAAGCCUAGAUAGAAAUGGUCGUUUUAGUUGUCUUUUCUUCUCUAUUUUCAUGCUUACCAUCUUGCUCUUGUUAGUUGCUAAAAUUUUUAUGCUUCUACCAUCUCACUCUAUUAUGAAAUUAUUGCUUCUAAUGUAACUUCUCUCUGGUCUAUUCUAUAGAUGUUUCGUGCCAACAAGACCGCUCGUAUCUCCACUGGAGGGUAUCACCCACCUCGUUACCAAUACGAGCCUAUGGAGCCACAAGAGGAGAGUUCACCGGAACAUGAGGAGACCCCACCACCUUCAGAUCAAGCAUCUGAGCCAGAGCUAUCGCAAGUGGAGUCUGAACCAGAGAAGGAGCCCCAGGAGGUCAUACUAAUUUCUGAUGAAGAAGAAGAAGGUGCUCCCGGAGGAGGACAACCCCCAUCAAUGCCGCAAGAUGGACCUGCUAAAGAUGAUGAGUCCCCUCCCAUAGGGUGGACUAGAAAGGUGUACCACAAGGCUUCGUGCAAUGCUCCGUCGCAUCACCGGCUGGUGGGAAUGUUGGAGACUUACUUCUCUGACUAGGAUGCAGUUGUGGAGUAUUCAUGCAUCGAGUAUACACACCCCCUGGAGAACACCUACUGGAAGUCCAAGGUGCUGAUCUUUCCCAAGGAUGUGGAGAAAGAUGCAUACUUGAAGAACAGGGGCUACCGUCAUGAUGGACAUAGAGCUACUAUGGAAGAAAGCAUGGAGGAAGCAGCUUUCACAGCAUGUUUGUUCCUCCGUGAGCAACGUUUUGCUAACAUGCGGUGGGAUAUACACCGUUAUCUACCCCGCCUAGACCCGGAACAUGGAUGGGGAAUGCUGGAGCCAACAGAUUUGGACCCAGUCUCCCGAGUGAUGGUGUACUUUGCUCAUGAGAUGGUGGAAAAACAUCUGAAAUUGCAAGACAUGAUGAUAGCACAAGGAAAGGCUCUCAAGAGGUGCCACAAGAUGAUUGACGACCAUCGUGAGAGGGAAGGACAGCCCAAGAUCUAUGGGAAGCUUGACUAUGAACCACGCCCUUAGUGUUGGAAGUCGCUAGUUUGUAAUAAGCCGCUAGAAGCGCAAGUGAGUCGAGUCAAGUUAGUGUGGUGUGCUUUUUGUUAUGCUUAGUUGCUUUGUUAUUAUGUUUAUGAGUGAGUUGGAUCUUUGUAAUGAGUGCUGGGACUUUGUAAGCAUGUCUACAAGUUCCAUAGUUUAGGUUAUUAAGGAUUAAGGUUUAAUGAAUAAAUAGUUGGGUUGGUAUAUCUGUCUUUCCUGUUUCCUUUAAUUAAACCAAUCUGUCUUAAUAAUUUUACUCAGAAAAAUCAGUUCGACCAAAAAUUAUGAAAAUUUUAUGAGAAUAACAAGACUUAAGCAUCUUUCCUAUGCCGCUGGAAUCACCCUUUUAUCUGACCUGGGCCGAGAGAUAUGAAUAUUGAAAACAGAGGUUCCUGUGCUGUUUGAGUUCUGGGAUAGUUUCGAUUGGAGACAGUUUAUGGCUAAUUUAAUGACCCAAUCUGAACUUGUGCUCUAAAUAAAAGUUGUAGACAAUUUCUUAAGCUUUCCAAGCAUCAAAGUUUCGCCUCUGUUGGACUUUUUUAUCUCGAGUUAUGAUCGUUUUACUGAACUGCUGGCACUGGACUCACUCAGAAAGUUUUCAGAAUUGCAAACUUGUUCUUGAAUGUCUAUAAUUUGGGAGAUUCUAAAGUUUUGCAUGUUAUGACAGAUGCCGCCAAGAGGUAGAGGACGUGGAAGGGGUGUUCCACUCAACCCACCUACCACCAUCGAACAGCUACUAGCAGUACAGACGCAGCUCAUGGAAGCCCUGGUGAACAACCAACAGAAUCAUCCAAUCGGAGGGGCACCACCGCGUGAUAAGCGGGGUGAAUUUUUGAAAGGUCAUCCCCCUGUGUUCACACACGCCACUGAUCCACUGGAGGCAGAUGACUGGCUUCGUGCAGUGGAGAAGCAACUCAACAUAGCACAGUGUGAAGAUAGGCAGAAGGUGUUGUUCGCAUCUGGACAACUUCAGGGAGAAGCUCAGACAUGGUGGGAGUCGCUUAAGUAUGGACGACCUCCCAAUGCACCUGCUAUCACAUGGCUAGAGUUCAAGGAGAACUUUAGGUCUUACCACAUACCAAAAGGGUUAAUAGAACUGAAGGCAGAGGAGUUCCGGAGUUUGAAGCAGGGAUCUAUGACACUUCCAGAGUACCGGGACAAGUUUGCGCAGUUGUCGCGCUAUGCUCCCAAUGAGGUGGCUAAUGAUGCUGAUAAACAGCGCCUCUUUCUGAAGAGAUUGUAUGAUGGGCUCCAGCUCCAACUGAUGUCCAAUGAAUACCCCAACUAUCAGAUGCUUGUGAACCAUGCUAUCGUAGUGGAUAACAAGCGUAAGGAGAUGGAUGCUAAAAGGAAGAGGAUACAGGGACAGGCCUCUGGAAGUAAUACUCGUCCACGCACCAACCAGCAGCAGGGUUCUCAGCAAAGGUACCAAGGACCACCCUCACAAUGGAAUCGUGGUCAGCACCCCCAGCGCAACCAGAUCCAGCAGCGCCCGCAGAACCAGCAGAAUCAGCAGCAGGGCAACCAGCAGACGUCACACCAGGGUAUGCCUAGCAACACUCCAAUGAAGACUAGUGCCCCUAACACCCCCAACAAGUGUUUCCACUGUGGUAAAGAGGGUCACCUGUCAUAUCACUGCCCUAAAAAGCAAAAUCAGUAGACCCCCCAGAAGCAGAAUAGCCACCAGAAGUUAGCUCCUAAUACUGGAAGGGUGAGUCAUAUGUCUUCUGAGACAGCACAACAGGAACCGGAGGUCAUGCUCGGUACGUUUGAAGUCAACUCUAUCCCUGCAUCUGUUCUUUUUUAUUCUGGAGCUUCGCAUACUUUCAUAUCACAAGCAUUUGUUAGAAUACAUAGCUUACCCUUAUGUGCCAUGAAGAAUCCCAUAUUAGUAAAUUCACCGGGGGAAAGUAUGCAAGCUUCUUAUAGUUGCCUCCCACUUACUUUAACUCUAAGGGGGGUAGAAUUCAAGAUAUGCCCGAUUGUGUUGAGAGCAUCUGGUAUAGAUGUGAUUCUGGGAAUGGAUUGGAUGAAACAACAAGAUGCUUCGAUUCAGUGUAAAGGAAAGGCAGUUGCACUAACAACACCAAAAGGGGACAGGAUCUGUGUGGAAGUGGCAGUUCAGCCUCAGCCAACAGCUACAGUGAACCAGCUUGAUAUCAGUGACAAUCAGGAGGACUCUGUUGUUGAUGAGUUCCCAGACGUGUUCCCCGAUGAUUUGCCAGGUAUGCCACCUGACCGUGACAUUGAGUUUAUUAUUGAAUUAUUGCCUAGCACUGCACCUAUAGCUAAACGUCCAUAUAGAAUGGGGGUUAAAGAAUUAGAAGAAUUUAAGAAACAAAUAAAGGAGUUGCAGGAAAAAUGUUUCAUUCGUCCUAGCUCUUCACCUUGAGGAGCACCAGUGAUUUUUGUCGACAAGAAAGAUGGCACGCAGAGGAUGUGUGUAGACUACCGGUCACUCAAUGAGGUCACCAUCAAGAAUAAAUAUCCAUUGCCUAGAAUUGAUGAUUUGUUUGAUCAAUUGAGAGGUGCUUGUGUGUUUUCCAAGAUUGAUCUUCGCUCUGGGUACCUUCAGCUGAUGAUUCGUGCCACUGAUAUACCAAAGACAGCAUUUACGACCCGGUAUGGUUUGUAUGAGUACACAGUGAUGUCUUUCGGUCUGACCAAUGCUCCUGCCUACUUUAUGUACCUGAUGAAUAAGGUGUUCAUGGAAUUUCUUGAUAAGUUUGUGGUGGUGUUUAUUGAUGACAUAUUGGUAUUCUCCAAGACUGAGCGAGAGCAUGCUGAGCAUCUGAGGUUAGUCUUGCAGAAGCUUCGGGAACACAAGUUAUAUGCCAAGCGAAGUAAGUGCGAGUUUUGGUUGAAAGAAGUUUCCUUUCUGGGCCAUGUUGUCUCUAAUGGAGGAAUAACUGUGGAUCCAAGCAAGGUGAAGGAUGUGCUUGUUGACGGUCCUUAAGUACCAAAUAUAAUCAUCAAAUAAAUAAAGAAAAGGAUCCAAAUGCAAUCAAUACCCAGACUUAGGGUUUUAUCUGAUAGAAUUCUAGUUUAGGUGUAGAUCGGAGGAAGGCCGGCCUGUCGGUGUCUACUCCGAGUUGUACCUGCGGGAUCAAGUCUUCUAACCUGAGGCUUGCUCCUAAGAUUCUUCAGUAAUUCGACUUCUAAUUCUAGUAAGUUCUUGUUUUAUUGUUCUUUGGUUUAUGAGUUUACUUUAAUCCUCUUCCGGUUGAGUAUUAGACUAAUCAUUGCUAGCGUAAACGUGGUGUUUAGGCUAGGGUACUCAUAGAUAUCCCCUGACUAGCUGGACCGUGGUAGUAGCAAGGAACGUGACAUUUCCGAGUUACCUUUGUAUCCCAUAUCUUGUUAGUAGGACGAGUAGGGUUUAUAGGUGCGGGUCGAACAUCCUUUGUGGUGUCUAGAUUUCGUAAGCUUUCACAAUAGAACAGUAGAUCAUCCUUACCAAGGUUAGAACGAGACUACGGUUGCAGUCUUCUCUAUACAUCACUCACAUCGAGAAACAUUCUUUGUAACCUAAAGGGAUAGUAGCAAUAGAUUUGGUUAGUCAGAUGCACCCUUUCUCCGAGUGGUAAAAAUAUAAAUACGAUAACUCUGGAUAACCUCCUAGGUGAAAUGCUCACCGAUAUCCGUGCGCUUGCGGAUCAUUUUCUGAUUGCGUUACCAAAUAUCAACAAGCAUUUCUGGCGCCGUUGCCGGGGAGAAAGACGGUUUGUUGAGAUAACUUUAAGUCUUGCUAUUAUCUUGUAUUAUAAUUUUAUACUUUUAUUCUUUUAUCUUUUUAUUUUUUCCAUCUUUAUGGAUAACUCAAAUUCCAUACCUAUUAUUGAAUUCUUUGCACCUUCGGAGACCAGCCAUAGACCAUGGGAGUCAACAAGUCCUGCCCCUAAUUAUGAUCUGUGUCCGGAGUUGAUUGCAAUAGGUCAAAACCAACCCUUUUCUAUAGCUGAGGUCCUAUCUUUUAAUUAAGAAGAUAAUGCACUUUUAGCUACACGUAGGGAAUUUGUUAAUCUUUCUAUAAAUUAUGGUUUAAAUUUAGCCCUACAAGACCAUGUUUUUCCUCGAUAUUUUCACAUUGGUCUUAAUCAUAUAACCUGUGGUAGAGUCUUUCUUUCUUUAUCUAUUAGAAAAGGAAGGUAUGUCUUCAUUUGUGGACAUCCUUCUUGCACUAGUCUUCAUAAAAAAUGUUUAGAGAUAGAGAAGGAAUCAUCUCCCAGACAAGGAAAGGAAGUUUCAAUAGCCAAUUUCCAAACAUUUCAAUCCCAUAAAUCGGCUAUCCAACCCAUCCUUGAGCUUAAUAAUUUCUACUAUGCUCUUUCUCUUGAACCUCCCGAUAAUCCUAUGAAUCUUUCUAGACAUCCCAUGCAUAAGAGUCACCAAGACCACAGGAGGAUCGAGAAGAGCAACAUCAAUGGCUAGAGGGCAUUAAAAAUCCAUGUGCUAUCACCAUUGAAUGGUUGGAUAAAACAAUCUUGAGAGACAAUCCUAGAGGAAUUUUAAGCAUUCAUGAAGAAUCAUCCUUGGAGUUUGAGAAUGAGAGAAACAACAGUGAGCAUGGAAUUUAUUUCAUAAAUACCUUACCAAGUCCUUGCUCAUAUAAAACAUCUCCCCAAUCAAUUGGUCUAUCCAACAUCACCACAUUUGAGAUCUCCAACCCCCUCUUCCUUUCUAUUUAUAAAAACUUUAAAAGGGCGGUUGUCGAUGUAUAUGUCUAUAAUAAAUAUUGCCGAUACCGUUGAGUUGAUCUUAAUAUAGGUCAGCGUUGGAGGGGAAACCACUUCGCCGACAUAAACUAAUGGUUUCCCAAGGACAAGCUUAGUGUCCUAAAACAAGCACUUAUCAGAUCGUGACAUGAACUUCUAAUUAUUUGCAACAUUGCCUUGUGUAUUGAGCAUAUAGAGAUAAUUAUAGAAAUAUUCCUUCGGGUAUUCUUGUCACUAACCUUUCCUAGAUUGGAGCAAGAAGAUCCGAGGAAUGACAAGCACAAGGUAUGUCCAACCAAUCAUCAUGCAACAUUGAAUUAAAUUCAUCCAAUCUUGAAUUUUGCAAAAUUCAAGCUUGGGGGAGUACUUUACAUACAAACAUCAUUUGCUAUGUUGCUAUGUUGGUUGUCCUUACCUUUGAGACAUGCUCAAUUUGUUAAAUACUAAUUACACUACUUCACCUCCACUUGAGUAGAUCUCUAUAAAUGCUCUCAUGCUACCUUUAUUUGCUUUAGUAUAUGUCUAGGUUUGGAGUAGUUUCAUUUAUCUCUUAAAUCAAGCAUGGUGCUUAGUUUAGGAAUGAUGAUCUUACUUCCAAAGGAUUUUUUUAAAUUAAGCAUGGUGCUUAGGUUAAAAAUGCCCUCCUAAAUCAAAUUAGACAUGGUGUCUAGGUUGAUUUUUGAGCCGAUAGUAUGCUAUAGUAGAUAUGGGAUAUUUUGUUGGACUAACCCCUGCAGGAAAACUUUCAAUAUCAACCUGGGAAGUCCUGAGAUACAAACUCAUUGAAGAUAAAGGAGACACAUGAAGUUUAACAAUUUGCACAAGAAGGACAUAGCUCAUUUAUCAUAAAGAGAUGAUCUAUGGAGAGUGCCACAAACAUGAUGCACAACCGCUAUGAAAGGAAAGCUUCCACAAGGUGAUACUACCAUCACUCUUCAAGUAAGGUAACACCUAAAGGUACUCGACUAUCACUUUCAUAAGCUUCUCCUUGGUUCUGGCAUACACAUGAAUAAAAGAGACAAACAUGUAUGAUUUGUAGCUCCAAAUUAACCAACCCAAUUAAUUCAACAUGUUUAGUCCUUUAAUCUUUGUUCUUAGUACUACCUUCGUGAUCCCACACUCCUAAUCAUAUAAGCUAAAAUGUUGCACAUUCAAUCUUUGGAAGAUAUAAACAAAACAUAAAUAUAGAUAGAUUAUCUUUCCAUUAGGUUGAGCCAUCUGAUCUAACAAAUGCUACACUCAUGAUCCAUCAACUUUGUCUUGCUCACUAUACUUAAGGUUAGAGAAGAACAAAUACACUUUUGGUUCUGUUGGUGUUUUCCACCAACAGGGCCCAUGCACUUGAUCUCUGCCUUGUGUCUAUGAAUAGGUACACUUCAAACAAAACAUGGAGGAGUUUUACAACUCUCAGACUCCACCAAGUGAAGGACAUGGAUCUAUGAGCACAAACACACUGAGCAGGAUGCUGCUAACGCCGCACUUCGAACUGCUAGACAAACAAAGAACAUGGGUGACUCUAUAUCAAGAGGUGCAGACGUCAAGGCCACACCUAAUCAAAUGAUGCACCGAAAGGAUGAAGACGGUGAGAAGUCUUGUCCAGAAGACAUAAAACAUUAGAUCCUUGUCGGAGGAGGUCAAGAUCGUCGACUGAAGUCGCCUUUCCUGAUCAAGAAGGACGACCCUGGUGUUCCAAGCAUCGAGUGCACAAUCAAUGGAUACUCUUUUCAGAAGACACUCUACGACACCGGAUCUAACGACAACAUAAUGGCCGCAGUCACUUAUCAACUCCUGCAUGGAACCAUGCCCCUACAACCAAUAUAUAUUCAGCUCCAGAUGAUUUUCAGGUCAUUGACAUGGGAGACGACGAGUACGAUCCACCCAUCAUCCUUGGAAGACCGUUCCUCAGCACUAUCAAAGCCAUUAUCUAUAUUGGAAUCGGAGAAGUCCACAUGCACUUCCCCUCUGAGAAGGUACGCCGCUAUUUCACUGACCCUAACUAUAUAGUUGAAGACUCUAAGUAGGUCAGGACAAGAAGAAGACGACACAACCGCAACCAGAGGAGGCAAACUAUCAAGGACGGAUGGGCAGACUAUGAAGGAGAAGUGGUAAGGUCUGAAGACAUACAGCUUGAACAGAACCGUCCUGAGGAGACCGUAGCACCGAGUCAGGUAUGGAGAGAGAAGAUAGUCAUACACGAAGAGGAGGCGCCGCCGGAACCACCGACUACGCCAUCCAGCAAAUCCUAGGACGACUGAGAAACGGAGAGUCCCGUUCGGAGGACUUAAAAACACCGAACGUCUUGCCAAGAGGUAAACUUGGUAGUUAUCCUUUUCCCUUCAAUUAUUUUAUUUAGUUAAUCAGGUUCAUAUCAUAUCGAAAAGAAAAUAAAAAUGUUAAAAAAAGUAAGCCCAUGUGAGUAUGCUCAUGGCAUAAAACCCAUAAGUACAUUCACUGUGGUGGCAUAAAAAUAAAAUAAAUAAGUUUUUAUCUUACAAUAAAAAUAUAAAAAUAAUAAGUGCAUGAUCCUGCUAAAUAAAUAACAUUUAUUGAGGAGGCUCAACAUGAUAAAGGCUAGAUAUUUAUGCUAACACUUAACCAGUUCCACAAAGCUUUGUUGUCUAUUUGAGCUCCACAGAAUUCAAGGAUCAAAGAAGACUAGCAGACGGAGGACAUCCUAAUCGCUGUCAGGGUGCUGCCGACUUUCAAAUACACCUCCACCACCUACUAGCUACAUCAGAAGAAAUUACGUCAAAAUCCAGCUUGGGGGAGAGCACCCCCAUUUAUCCAGCUAAGUGUUUCUACUCGCGUUUAUACUUUACUCAAAUAAUAAAAGAUGCAUAAUCAUGAAAACCCAAAUAAAGAUUUUGUGCUUUUAUAUAUAUAUAUCUUUGCUUAGUUUGCUAAAUAAAUAAAUAAAUAAAGUUUGCUAUAAACCCUCAUGAUAAACUCUCACAUGGAAAUGAUGAAUAGUUGCUCUGCCAUGACUAGUUCUUAAAAUUGAAAUCUCUCUCAAGUUUAGGCAUGACUGUUAUGAAGUAAGAUUUGCUCUAAACCUGAACUUGUGGGAAGAGUACUUGAUCUAAAGUCUAAGUUGUUAACGGAUAUGAUAUGGGAAGGUUGAGCUGCUGUUUAUCUGUUCCUAGAGAUGCUAGAAUUCUGGAGAAUUUUAUCUUUGAAAAAUCUUUAAAAUAUCACAUGAUGAGUUCUUGUAUGAUGAGAGUUUAAAUUCCUACCAUAGCCAUAUAUACAUGCUUAUUAGACUUUGAGCCACACAUUUACUUUUUACUGCUUAUGAGCAUUGACUGUGGUCAAGCUGUGUAGACCCUUAGGAGCUUGUCAUGUGGUUAAAAUCAAGAUUCACUUGCAUGUUCACUCAUAUAUGCUGCUUCUACUCCGGAAGUACACAUCCACAUACAUCCACUCAUUUCCAUCUCCAGAUUCACCCAAAAUUAUUCUACUCCUAAUCCGGAAGAGAAUAGCCAAAAACAUUUUCUUAUCCCUGUUAUUCCCUGUGAAAUAAAUGCUCCAGUUAUUUUGGUUACUACCACUUGCUACAUUAUUUCAGGAGAUGAGUGCUCUAAAAAAAAGAAAAAAAUAAAUAAUAUACGAGGAAAUAAAAAGGGGCAAGUGCCCGGAACCUCGAAGAAAAGAAAAAAUGACACGAGAGGUAAAAAUGGACAAGUGUCCGACAGUAGAAUUAGAGGUACAAGAUACCCACUUGAGAGGAAAGAAAAAGAAAAUAUAGAGCAUCUCAUUCUCCUCAAAAAGCUUCGAAGUGCAAGAAAGGUAUGUAUCCCCUUAAAAGAGCAAAAGUAGAAUUAGACUUUCGCCAUUGUUAUCACCAUCAUCACCAUACACCAUUCAUCUGCCACACAUGCACAUCUUGAUAUGACUUAUUGACUUGUUUCUCUAGAUCCAUGGUUUGACUAUGCAAUAAAUGUCUUGUAAGUAUGUAUUAGCUGUCUCCCACCUAUGAGCUCCAGAUAUUAAAACCUUAUUAGAGUAGGGUGAGAGAGGAGGCAAUAUCACUAUGCCUCAUACCAAAAAUACCACAUAUUUUGAGAGAAGGCAUAUACCAUUACUGCCUUGGAAAGGAUCCAGAAAUACCACAAAAGAGAGAUCUGAGAGAGUCAUACAAGAAAUCUCUGAGUUUUAUUUGAAAAUCUGCAAAAACUCCAGAGCUAUAGCUGAUCAAGAAUAAGAGACAUGGCGCUUGACUUGACCGUUCUAUCUUUUAACUGC